This 253-nucleotide ribosomal RNA is filed under the name uncultured bacterium. RNAcentral describes it as "partial 16S ribosomal RNA". It matches the Rfam family "Bacterial small subunit ribosomal RNA", at positions 524 to 776 of the family's 1533-position model. The record is from RNAcentral.
UACGGAGGGUGCGAGCGUUAAUCGGAAUCACUGGGCGUAAAGCGCGCGUAGGCGGCUUUUCAAGUCAGGGGUGAAAUCCCACGGCCCAACCGUGGAACUGCCUUUGAAACUGUAGAGCUUGAGUGUCGGAGAGGGUGGCGGAAUUCCAGGUGUAGGAGUGAAAUCCGUAGAUAUCUGGAGGAACACCGGUGGCGAAGGCGACGAUCUGGCCUGCAACUGACGCUCAGUCCCGAAAGCGUGGGGAGCAAAUAGG